This 253-nucleotide ribosomal RNA is filed under the name uncultured bacterium. Its description in RNAcentral is "partial 16S ribosomal RNA". It matches the Rfam family "Bacterial small subunit ribosomal RNA", at positions 524 to 776 of the family's 1533-position model. The record is from RNAcentral.
UACGUAGGGGGCAAGCGUUGUCCGGAAUCAUUGGGCGUAAAGCGCGUGUAGGCGGCCCGGUAAGUCCGCUGUAAAAGUCCAGGGCUCAACCCUGGAAGGCCGGUGGAUACUGUCGGGCUCGAGUCCGGAAGAGGCGAGUGGAAUUCCUGGUGUAGCGGUGAAAUGCGCAGAUAUCAGGAGGAACACCAAUGGCGAAGGCAGCUCGCUGGAACGGUACUGGCGCUGAGACGCGAAAGCGUGGGGAGCAAACAGG